AGAGAGAGACAGUGAGAGAGAGAGAGACAGUGAGAGAGAGACAGUGAGAGAGAGAGAGAGAGAGACAGUGAGAGAGAGAGACAGUGAGAGAGAGAGAGACAGUGAGAGAGAGAGAGAGAGAGACAAGAGAGACAGUGAGAGAGAGAGAGGUGAGUGAGACAGUGAGUGAGAGAGAGACAGUGAGAGAGAGAGACAGUGAGAGAGACAGAGAGAGACAGUGAGAGAGAGAGAGACAGUGAGAGAGAGAGACAGUGAGAGAGAGAGAGAGAGAGAGAGACAGUGAGAGAGAGACAGUGAGAGAGAGAGAGACAGUGAGAGAGAGAGAGGUGAGUGAGACACAGUGAGUGAGAGAGCGAGAGAGAGGUGAGUGAGACAGUGAGUGAGAGAGAGACAGUGAGAGAGCGAGAGAGAGAGACAGUGAGAGAGAGAGAGAGAGAGAGACAGAGAGAGAGACAGUGAGAGAGAGAGAGACAGUGAGAGAGAGAGAGAGAGAGAGACAGUGAGAGACAGUGAGAGAGAGAGAGACAGUGAGAGAGAGAGACAGUGAGAGAGCGAGAGAGAGGUGAGUGAGACAGUGAGUGAG
Long non-coding RNA from Oncorhynchus tshawytscha (Chinook salmon), 583 nucleotides. Lineage: Eukaryota; Metazoa; Chordata; Actinopteri; Salmoniformes; Salmonidae. The record is from Ensembl.